Molecule: long non-coding RNA, 218 nt
Filed under: Manihot esculenta (cassava)
Lineage: Eukaryota; Viridiplantae; Streptophyta; Magnoliopsida; Malpighiales; Euphorbiaceae
Description: long non-coding RNA (MESC_LNC001219)
Source: RNAcentral
AAACCUUAAGGUCGGGCUCCACCUGGAUUUCUCAUCCAGGUCGGCCCGGCCUGCCUAGCCUCUCAUAUAGGUCCCCUUUUGGGCUCGGUUCUCAUCUCAUCUCUCGGCCCAGCCCAGAACUAAGAAGGAGUUCAGCCCCUUCGCCUUGUGGGACCAUCCGCAUGCGCACCCGGGGAGAAUCAGGGGCCGUUAUGCACGGGACAGAGAUCUGAUUCCCU